CCUAAAAACUAACCUAAACACCUGUUCAUACUCUCAAGCCUCUCUAAUCUCUAUCUCACACCUCUGUCUCACUCUCACAGUGAGAGUCUCACCUCACUCAACUCUCAAGCUCAUGGUGAAGCCUCUGUUCUGCCUCUGAAUCUCUCAAUUUUUUUUCCCUUCUCACGGCCUCUGUUCAGCUUUUCAUCCUCACGGUCACGAUCUGCUAGACUGCUUCUGAUUUUUUUUUUUCUCUCUCUCUCGCGGUCUCACCCUCUCUGCUUCAGUGGCUUCAUCAAUCAUCAGUGGCUUCAUCAAUCAUUAGGAACAUAUCCAUCCCAGGCUACAGACCAUGGGCCUUUCAUGGGUAUGAGGGACCCAUGGCUUCAUGGGAAUGCUAAUGCAAAAGAGGCAAAUGAACUAAAAGUAGAAUGGGGCAAAAGCCCAACAUGAAAGAAAGAAGGAAAAUGGCCUCAAAAACAAGGUGCAAACGACCUUAUAAAAGGGUGCAAGUGAAAAGGUUCUCGAAUGAGACCAGCCCAGCAAAUGGGGGAGCCUAAAUAGGGUUUACCAAGGAAAAGGCCAUGGAAGGCCAAGUUCCCUUAGAGAAAGGAUUGAAAGGGACAAAUGAUCCCACAAAACCUUAAGACCUAGAGGUGAAAACCAACCAGUCCAUGAGGGAGAGGCUUGAGGAACCUCGUCCAAAAAGAAAAAUAAUGGAUAGAGAAAGAUGUCCAACAGACUUUAAAGGUUCACCCAAAUCAAUAAAGGAUCUAUACCAUUUUAGGAAGGAGGCAUGAUACGUAGAGUCCCUAUCAAAGUGAAGAAAUCUUCAAAAUGUCCUUCUCACCAGCCUUGAGAAGAGACCGAUCCUUGUUGACCUUAGCCAAUGCUAGAAUUGGUUGGAAAAAUGUAUCUCCUAUAAGAGGAAAACUACCAAAGGUGCUUUCAGGGACAAGUUCCCAAGAAAGAGAAACAAGAACGAGAAUGGAAAAAAAAUGCCCAAAGCUUCAACACAAGGGCAAGCAGCAAGAUCAAGGCAAAGGAGAAGAUAGUAAUUUUGAGAACCUCUAAGACUAGUAUAAAAGGGCCGGGAGGAAUCAUCCAUGGAAGAAAAACAACAAGUAGAGAAUGAAAGAGAAAUAUUAGAAAGAGUAAAACAUAAAGUAAUAAAGAAAAUUGGAAAUUAUAAUGAGAAUAUAGAACCUAGGUCAAGCUCCCAGAAAGUAGUGGUCCUUUUUUGUAGUAUUUCCUGGGGGCUAUACAUCAAUCCAGGGAUCCAUACUUUGCAAGAUUUGUAGACCUCAAAGUUCACUUAAGUCUGUGAAGUUUGGGGCUUAUGGGUUUUAUACCAUUCCCUCAAAAAAUUUGUAUAUGGGUUAUUUGUCUUAUUAAUAAGA
Quercus robur (English oak) is the source of this 1379-nucleotide long non-coding RNA. RefSeq lists it as uncharacterized. The record is from RefSeq and is a predicted model, not a curated record. NCBI's taxonomy places the organism in Eukaryota, Viridiplantae, Streptophyta, Magnoliopsida, Fagales, Fagaceae. The transcript has 3 exons.